This 66-nucleotide transfer RNA is filed under the name Cordylochernes scorpioides. Its description in RNAcentral is "tRNA-OTHER". It matches the Rfam family "tRNA". Rfam says of the family: Transfer RNA (tRNA) molecules are approximately 80 nucleotides in length. Their secondary structure includes four short double-helical elements and three loops (D, anti-codon, and T loops). Lineage: Eukaryota; Metazoa; Arthropoda; Arachnida; Pseudoscorpiones; Chernetidae. The record is from RNAcentral.
UCCAGGGUAGCCUAGUGGACAUGGCAUCUAAGCGGAACACUGUGGGUUCAAUUCCCAUCCCUGGAC